RNAcentral lists this ribosomal RNA (340 nucleotides) under uncultured archaeon. RNAcentral describes it as "bacterial SSU rRNA". It matches the Rfam family "Archaeal small subunit ribosomal RNA", at positions 19 to 357 of the family's 1478-position model. The record is from RNAcentral.
GGAGGUUACUGCUAUCGGUGUUCGCCUAACCCAUGCAAGUCAUAUGUUCUUCGUGAACAUGGCGUACUGCUCAGUAACACGUGAAUAACCUGCCCUUGGGACCGGCAUACCCCCGGGAAACUGGGGAUAAUUCCGGAUACCGCAUAUAUGCUGGAAUGCUUUAUGCGUGAAAUGGAUUCGUCUGCCCAAGGAUGGGUCUGCGGCCUAUCAGGUAGUAGUGGGUGUAAUGUACCUACUACCCUACAACGGGUACGGGUUGUGAAAGCAAAACCCCGGAAAUGGAUUCUGAAACAUGAAUCCAGGCCCUACGGGGCGCACCAGCCGCGAAAAAUUCACAAUG